RNAcentral lists this ribosomal RNA (404 nucleotides) under Fusobacteriota bacterium. RNAcentral's name for it is "Fusobacteria bacterium partial 16S ribosomal RNA". It matches the Rfam family "Bacterial small subunit ribosomal RNA", at positions 355 to 776 of the family's 1533-position model. The record is from RNAcentral. Lineage: Bacteria; Fusobacteriati; Fusobacteriota.
UGGGGAAUAUUGCACAAUGGAGGGAACUCUGAUGCAGCGACGCCGCGUGAGUGAUGAAGGAAUUCGUUUCGUAAAACUCUGUUCCAUGGGAAGAAAAGGACUGUACGAUAGGAGAAAGCUCCGGCUAAAUACGUGCCAGCAGCCGCGGUAAUACGUAUGGAGCGAGCGUUGUCUGGAAUUAUUGGGCGUAAAGAGUGCGCAGGCGGCUUUACAAGUUGGACGUGAAAUAUUGUGGCUCAACCACAAACGGGCAUCCAAAACUGCAAAGCUGGAGUUAAGGAGAGGUAAAUGAAAUUCCUGGUGUAGCGGUGAGAGGCGUAGAUAUAGGGAGGAAAACCGGUGGCGAAGGCGACUUACUGGACUUAAAAUGACGCUAAGGCACGAAAGCGGGGGGAGCAAACAGG